AGAACGAACGCUGGCGGCGUGGAUAAGACAUGCAAGUCGAGCGCAAUACUCAUUGUAGCAAUACAGUGGGUGUUGAGCGGCGCAGGUGCGUAACACGUGGGUAAUUUGCCGUGAAGUUGGGGAUAACUCGCUGAAAGGCGAGCUAAUACCGAAUGUGGAAUGGGAGUGGCAUCACUUUUCUUCCAAAGCUGGGGAUCGUAAGACCUGGCGCUUCAUGAUAAGCCCCGCGGCCUAUCAGCUAGUUGGUGAGGUAACGGCUCACCAAGGCUAAGACGGGUAGCUGGUCUGAGAGGACGACCAGCCACACUGGAACUGAGACACGGUCCAGACACCUACGGGUGGCAGCAGUCGAG
RNAcentral lists this ribosomal RNA (353 nucleotides) under uncultured soil bacterium. Its description in RNAcentral is "bacterial SSU rRNA". It matches the Rfam family "Bacterial small subunit ribosomal RNA", at positions 26 to 359 of the family's 1533-position model. The record is from RNAcentral.